AGAACUGUCUUAUGCCUUUUUAUGCAUCCUCAGUGCUUGGCGCAUGGUGAUCCCUGGGUCAUCAGAAACUGUGAGUCUGCUGAGAUUGUGGUGGUUAAUGCGGCUGAAGAUCCCAUUAGCUUGUUUAUUUUACAGAUGAGAAAACUGAGGCAAACAGGGUUAAGUGACUUGUCCAGGAUCACACAACUAGCAUCUGGGGACAGAUUUGAACUCAGGAAGAUGAGUGCCAAGUGAGGCAUCGUCUCUACUACGCCACCAAAGGCCUUCAAUGGUUCCUUUAAAUACUAAAUGAUUCACUGAUCUACGUGACAACCUGUACUGCUUACCCACCAUGCCAACAACAUUAAUAGUAGAAUUUAAAAAUUAAUAUGUAAUAAAUAAGAGAACAAUAAAUUAUAAGC
Molecule: long non-coding RNA, 401 nt
Organism: Monodelphis domestica (gray short-tailed opossum)
Lineage: Eukaryota; Metazoa; Chordata; Mammalia; Didelphimorphia; Didelphidae
Source: Ensembl